CCCUUAGAUGUUCUGGGCUGCACGCGCGCUACACUGAAGCUAUCAACACGUUUACCCUCCCUGAGAAGGGCGGGUAACCUUUUGAAUCAGCUUCGUGGUAGGGAUCGGGGCUUGCAAUUGUUCCCCGUGAACCAGGAAUUCCUAGUAGACGCGAGUCAUAAGCUCGCAUCGAUUAAGUCCCUGCCCUUUGUACACACCGCCCGUCGCUACUACCGAUUGAACGUUUUAGUGAGGCAUUUGGACCGACGCAUCUCAGUUUAACCGCUGGUUUGUGUUGGAAAGACUUCCAAACUUGAGCGUUUAGAGGAAGUAAAAGUCGUAACA
This 324-nucleotide ribosomal RNA is filed under the name uncultured eukaryote. RNAcentral describes it as "partial 18S ribosomal RNA". It matches the Rfam family "Eukaryotic small subunit ribosomal RNA", at positions 1470 to 1796 of the family's 1831-position model. The record is from RNAcentral.